AGCUAGCGUUAUUCGGAAUUACUGGGCGUAAAGCGCACGUAGGCGGCUUUGUAAGUUAGAGGUGAAAGCCCGGGGCUCAACCCCGGAACUGCCUUUAAGACUGCAUCGCUUGAAUCCAGGAGAGGUGAGUGGAAUUCCGAGUGUAGAGGUGAAAUUCGUAGAUAUUAGGAAGAACACCAGUGGCGAAGGCGGCUCACUGGACUGGUAUUGACGCUGAGGUGCGAAAGCGUGGGGAGCAAACAGGAUUAGAUACCCUUGUAGUCC
This 264-nucleotide ribosomal RNA is filed under the name Salinicola sp. MH3R3-1. Its description in RNAcentral is "partial 16S ribosomal RNA". It matches the Rfam family "Bacterial small subunit ribosomal RNA", at positions 533 to 796 of the family's 1533-position model. Lineage: Bacteria; Pseudomonadati; Pseudomonadota; Gammaproteobacteria; Oceanospirillales; Halomonadaceae. The record is from RNAcentral.